RNAcentral lists this transfer RNA (89 nucleotides) under Massilia sp. Bi118. Its description in RNAcentral is "tRNA-Ala". Lineage: Bacteria; Pseudomonadati; Pseudomonadota; Betaproteobacteria; Burkholderiales; Oxalobacteraceae. The record is from RNAcentral.
CGCGCCUGGUGCGCUGGCUGGCGCCGGGGUUCGCGCUGGCGCUGGCCGCAUGGGCGGCCGCACGCUGGUUCGAGGCCGGCUGGCGCGGC